GUCCGGGUGGCGGAAUUGGCAGACGCGCUAGCUUGAGGUGCUAGUUCCCGCAAGGGAUUGGGAGUUCAAGUCUCCUCUCGGACA
RNAcentral lists this transfer RNA (84 nucleotides) under Actinomycetes bacterium. Its description in RNAcentral is "tRNA-Leu". It matches the Rfam family "tRNA". From Rfam's summary of the family: Transfer RNA (tRNA) molecules are approximately 80 nucleotides in length. Their secondary structure includes four short double-helical elements and three loops (D, anti-codon, and T loops). Further hydrogen bonds mediate the characteristic L-shaped molecular structure. tRNAs have two regions of fundamental functional importance: the anti-codon, which is responsible for specific mRNA codon recognition, and the 3' end, to which the tRNAs corresponding amino acid is attached (by aminoacyl-tRNA synthetases). tRNAs cope with the degeneracy of the genetic code in two manners: having more than one tRNA (with a specific anti-codon) for a particular amino acid; and 'wobble' base-pairing, i.e. permitting non-standard base-pairing at the 3rd anti-codon position. RNAcentral also lists the same sequence under 1 other name. The record is from RNAcentral. Lineage: Bacteria; Bacillati; Actinomycetota; Actinomycetes.